UUAAAUAAAUGCUUUUUAGAAUCACAGGAUUUAUGAACUCGCUUGAAUUGCAUACAAGGCGAGCCUGUUCAAUAUAAAGUCAUUAGAGCGAAAACAACAUUUACGUGUAUUUUAUUUUUGCUAUUUGGUGGUGGGUAUGUCUAAGUUUCAACCAUAAUAUAAACCAACAGAUAAAACAAUAACAACAAGGUACUUUACCAUUGCUAUUCAAACCAUCGGAUCGCAGUAACAAAUCAAACAAAAAAACAAAUUAGUUGCAGUAGUAACAGCACCAAGUAUGAAUUCACCAUGAGUUGAGUACAAAACAUUUAUCGAAAAUAAGAAUCCAUACCUCUAAUAUUUAUCAGAAACACUAGUAUCAUAAAAAAAUGUCGUGACGCAUUCUAACGUUAAUAACCGGUAAAGCAAUAUUCCUAAACUGGGAACAUUGAAAAGCAUGGACCGAAGUUCGGGUUUAACAGAAAAGCAGUUUCCACAGUGAACGAAGUGAAGAUUACAAGGCUCGGAAAUCUAAAUUGUGAAUAUGUAUAUAAUAUUUUACAGUGACGGUAGAGAGACAAUAUGCAAUGAAAACAAGAAGAGAGAUAUUGCACAUUUAAAAUAUAAGGAAAUAAAGAAGGUAAAGCAGAUUCCUAUACAUAUUACAUAUACAGGUUUCAUCCCAAGGUCGAUAAUUGCGAUAAUCAUAGCGCGAUGAAGAGGAACGAUCGGGGUAGUCACGAUCGUAGCUGCCGCCACGUGGACGCUCAUAAUAUCGAUCUGUGAAGAGGUGAUUCAGUUUAAAAACUUUCUUUAUCUUACUUUUCAGACCAAACGUACCACGAUAAUAAUCACCGAUACGCUCCUGAUCAUAACCGCCUCGGCGAUCGUAGCGAUCGUAUCCGCGCCCGUCAUAGCGAUCAUAGGUUUUCGAGCCUAAACGAUCGUCUCUGCGUAAAGAAAAAUAGAAAAUUAGCAGGGAGUUAAAGCGAUCACAAUGAAAUAAAACUGUGCUAGUUCAAAAACGCUGAAAAUGAUAAAUGUUGAAGAGAAUAGUGAUAUUGAUUAUUUUAGAUUCACUCAAAUAAGAAGGAUGCUCGCUUUGGAGACGAAAGGUAGACCUCAUCGUAUGGUCGCAUCAUAUGAAAUCAUUGUAAAUUUUAUAUUAAUUGAUUUCAUAUAGAUGUAAAUUAUUCGAAAAUGUAUUCUUUUGCAAGAAUUGCACUUAAUACAA
Long non-coding RNA from Anastrepha ludens (Mexican fruit fly), 1213 nucleotides. RefSeq lists it as uncharacterized. NCBI's taxonomy places the organism in Eukaryota, Metazoa, Arthropoda, Insecta, Diptera, Tephritidae. The transcript has 3 exons. The record is from RefSeq and is a predicted model, not a curated record.